This 448-nucleotide ribosomal RNA is filed under the name uncultured bacterium. RNAcentral describes it as "bacterial SSU rRNA". It matches the Rfam family "Bacterial small subunit ribosomal RNA", at positions 355 to 825 of the family's 1533-position model. The record is from RNAcentral.
UGGGGAAUAUUGCACAAUGGGCGAAAGCCUGAUGCAGCAACGCCGCGUGCGGGAAGAAGGCCCUAGGGUUGUAAACCGCUUUCAGCAGGGAAGAAAAUGACGGUACCUGCAGAAGAAGGUGCGGCCAACUACGUGCCAGCAGCCGCGGUGACACGUAGGCACCAAGCGUUGUCCGGAUUUAUUGGGCGUAAAGAGCUCGUAGGCGGUUCAGUAAGUCGGGUGUGAAAACUCUGGGCUCAACCCAGAGACGCCACCCGAUACUGCUGUGACUUGAGUACGGUAGGGGAGUGGGGAAUUCCUGGUGUAGCGGUGAAAUGCGCAGAUAUCAGGAGGAACACCAGUGGCGAAGGCGCCACUCUGGGCCGUAACUGACGCUGAGGAGCGAAAGCCAGGGGAGCAAACGGGAUUAGAUACCCACGUAGUCCCUGAGCGGGCUGGCAAGGCGCAU